RNAcentral lists this ribosomal RNA (253 nucleotides) under uncultured bacterium. RNAcentral's name for it is "partial 16S ribosomal RNA". It matches the Rfam family "Bacterial small subunit ribosomal RNA", at positions 524 to 776 of the family's 1533-position model. The record is from RNAcentral.
UACGUAGGGUGCAAGCGUUGUUCGGAAUCAUUGGGCGUAAAGCGCGUGUAGGUGGCUAGUUAAGUUAGGUGUGAAAUCCCCGGGCUCAACCCAGGAAGUGCACUUAAAACUGGCUGGCUAGAAGAUAGUAGAGGAUGGUGGAAUUCCAAGUGUAGAGGUGAAAUUCGUAGAUAUUUGGAGGAAUACCGGCGGCGAAGGCGGCCAUCUGGGCUAUUCUUGACACUGAGACGCGAAAGCGUGGGUAGCAAACAGG